This 468-nucleotide ribosomal RNA is filed under the name uncultured bacterium. Its description in RNAcentral is "partial 16S ribosomal RNA". It matches the Rfam family "Bacterial small subunit ribosomal RNA", at positions 28 to 507 of the family's 1533-position model. The record is from RNAcentral.
GACGAACGCUGGCGGCGUGCUUAACACAUGCAAGUCGAACGGAAAGGCCCUGCUUUUGUGGGGUGCUCGAGUGGCGAACGGGUGAGUAACACGUGAGUAACCUGCCCUUGACUUUGGGAUAACUUCAGGAAACUGGGGCUAAUACCGGAUAGGAGCUCCUGCUGCAUGGUGGGGGUUGGAAAGUUUCGGCGGUUGGGGAUGGACUCGCGGCAUAUCAGCUUGUUGGUGGGGUAGUGGCAUACCAAGGCUUUGACGGGUAGCCGGCCUGAGAGGGUGACCGGCCACAUUGGGACUGAGAUACGGCCCAGACGCCUACGGGAGGCAGCAGUGGGGAAUAUUGCACAAUGGGCGGAAGCCUGAUGCAGCAACGCCGCGUGCGGGAUGACGGCCUUCGGGUUGUAAACCGCUUUCGCCUGUGACGAAGCGUGAGUGACGGUAAUGGGUAAAGAAGCACCGGCUAACUACGUG